AUUGAACGCUGGCGGCAGGCCUAACACAUGCAAGUCGAGCGGAUGAAGGGAGCUUGCUCCUGGAUUCAGCGGCGGACGGGUGAGUAAUGCCUAGGAAUCUGCCUGGUAGUGGGGGAUAACGUCCGGAAACGGGCGCUAAUACCGCAUACGUCAUGAGGGAGAAAGUGGGGGAUCUUCGGACCUCACGCUAUCAGAUGAGCCUAGGUCGGAUUAGCUAGUUGGUGGGGUAAAGGCCUACCAAGGCGACGAUCCGUAACUGGUCUGAGAGGAUGAUCAGGCACACUGGAACUGAGAAACGGUCCCGACCCCUACGGGAGGGGAGAGUGGGGAAAUUUUGGCAAUGGGCGAAAGCCUGACGCAACCCCGCCGCGUGUGUGAAAAAAGUCUUGGGAUUGUAAAACUCUUUUAAUUGGGAAGAAGAGGUAUGAAGUUAACUCCUCCCUUUUUGACGGUACCUAAACAAAAAGCCACGGCUAACUUCGUG
This 484-nucleotide ribosomal RNA is filed under the name uncultured bacterium. Its description in RNAcentral is "partial 16S ribosomal RNA". It matches the Rfam family "Bacterial small subunit ribosomal RNA", at positions 30 to 507 of the family's 1533-position model. The record is from RNAcentral.